Molecule: ribosomal RNA, 252 nt
Filed under: uncultured bacterium
Lineage: Bacteria
Description: partial 16S ribosomal RNA
Rfam family: Bacterial small subunit ribosomal RNA
Source: RNAcentral
UACGAAGGGGGCUAGCGUUGUUCGGAUUUACUGGGCGUAAAGCGUGCGCAGGCGGUUUUGUAAGUCUGUCGUGAAAUCCCCGGGCUCAACCUGGGAAUUGCGAUGGAGACUGCAAGGCUAGAAUCUGGCAGAGGGGGUAGAAUUCCACGUGUGAGCAGUGAAAUGCGUAGAGAUGUGGAGGAACACCGAUGGCGAAGGCGGCUCACUGGCCCGUAACUGACGCUGAGGUGCGAAAGCGUGGGGAGCAACAGG